GUGGGGAAUAUUGGACAAUGGGCGCAAGCCUGAUCCAGCAAUGCCGCGUGAGUGAUGAAGGCCUUAGGGUUGUAAAGCUCUUUUACCCGUGAUGAUAAUGACAGUAGCGGGAGAAUAAGCCCCGGCUAACUCCGUGCCAGCAGCCGCGGUAAUACGGAGGGGGCUAGCGUUGUUCGGAAUUACUGGGCGUAAAGCGCACGUAGGCGGCUUUGUAAGUUAGAGGUGAAAGCCUGGAGCUCAACUCCAGAAUUGCCUUUAAGACUGCAUCGCUUGAAUCCAGGAGAGGUGAGUGGAAUUCCGAGUGUAGAGGUGAAAUUCGUAGAUAUUCGGAAGAACACCAGUGGCGAAGGCGGCUCACUGGACUGGUAUUGACGCUGAGGUGCGAAAGCGUGGGGAGCAA
Molecule: ribosomal RNA, 400 nt
Filed under: uncultured Sphingomonas sp.
Lineage: Bacteria; Pseudomonadati; Pseudomonadota; Alphaproteobacteria; Sphingomonadales; Sphingomonadaceae
Description: bacterial SSU rRNA
Rfam family: Bacterial small subunit ribosomal RNA
Source: RNAcentral